RNAcentral lists this ribosomal RNA (486 nucleotides) under uncultured bacterium. RNAcentral's name for it is "partial 16S ribosomal RNA". It matches the Rfam family "Bacterial small subunit ribosomal RNA", at positions 30 to 507 of the family's 1533-position model. The record is from RNAcentral.
AUUGAACGCUGGCGGCAUGCCUUACACAUGCAAGUCGAACGGCAGCACGGGUGCCUGCACCUGGUGGCGAGUGGCGAACGGGUGAGUAAUACAUCGGAACAUGUCCUGUAGUGGGGGAUAGCCCGGCGAAAGCCGGAUUAAUACCGCAUACGAUCUACGGAUGAAAGCGGGGGACCUUCGGGCCUCGCGCUAUAGGGUUGGCCGAUGGCUGAUUAGCUAGUUGGUGGGGUAAAGGCCUACCAAGGCGACGAUCAGUAGCUGGUCUGAGAGGACGACCAGCCACACUGGGACUGAGACACGGCCCAGACUCCUACGGGAGGCAGCAGUGGGGAAUUUUGGACAAAGGGCGAAAGCCUGAUCCAGCAAUGCCGCGUGUGUGAAGAAGGCCUUCGGGUUGUAAAGCACUUUUGUCCGGAAAGAAAUCCUUGGCUCUAAUACAGUCGGGGGAUGACGGUACCGGAAGAAUAAGCACCGGCUAACUACGUG